UGGGAAACUAAUAUGAAGCUCUAAACGUUCAAACUUUACAGCUGCUUUGUAUACACAUCUGAAAUCUUUAAAUUUCAAGACUGUGAAAGUGAAAAACAAAGAUUAAACAAAACAAAACAAUGGUGUUAAAUUGGUCACAGAAAUGCGAAAAAGUCAGAGAUCAAGCUAUAAUUUAUACAUGAGAAUGAAUAACAACACUACCUUAUGGUUGUGGAAGCUAAAACGUAAGCUUUGCUGUUUUAGCUUUUGCUUGGACAUAUCUGAUCACUGAUCACAAAAAGUUUAAUAUCUCAAACAUCAAACUUCCAUCUAACUUUUAAACACACAAAAAAGCAGCUUCAGUACCAUAUCAGAGACUUGAAAGCUUACCAUAUCAGAGGGUCUACCACAUUCCAAGCGAAAAGACUCAAAAGCUCUAUUGCUCUGGCCUUUUUUGGGGUCAAGACAUAUCUUUUAUAC
RNAcentral lists this long non-coding RNA (459 nucleotides) under Capsella grandiflora. Its description in RNAcentral is "long non-coding RNA (CGRA_LNC001115)". The record is from RNAcentral. Lineage: Eukaryota; Viridiplantae; Streptophyta; Magnoliopsida; Brassicales; Brassicaceae.